RNAcentral lists this long non-coding RNA (912 nucleotides) under Nicotiana benthamiana. RNAcentral's name for it is "long non-coding RNA (NBEN_LNC005536)". The record is from RNAcentral. Lineage: Eukaryota; Viridiplantae; Streptophyta; Magnoliopsida; Solanales; Solanaceae.
UGAAAAAAAAUAUGAAGAAAGUGGUGUGUGAACACAUAGACUAUAUGUAUUGCAUAUUUGUCUCCUCUUUUGUUUGUUUUUGUUAUUUUCUUUUGCCAUGUCCAUGCUGUGCCAAUGACUAUUGCAGAAAGCUACAUAUUUGGUAUUCAAUUUUCAAACUUUAGGACAUAAUAUUCUCAAAUCUUCAGCUUUUGAAAUGAAGAAUCAUAACCAAGAAAAAGUAACUGCCCAGCUCUAGGAAACUUAACAAUUGUUUUGAAAGACCACCUAUAUUGGCUACAAUGUAAUUAGUAGUACUGGUCUCCUACUAUUUAUCAUACUUUAUUAUUUCCCAGUGCUUAAAUUGCUUCCGUAUAGAAAACUAGAGUAAAGUUAUCCAAGAAGUGUUUAACAAAUUACUGACCACAUCUUGAUAUCUUAGCAGUAGUCAAACUUAUCAUUUUUGAGAGCCAAUUUUCUGCAAAUUUCUUCGUUUAAAAUUCUUGUGAAGAUCUCUGAAGGUACGUCCUAUGUAGCAAGAGAGAUAGCUGGUUAUGCUGCUGUAACUUCUCUGUUGGAACAAUACACCUGAUUUCACAAUCCAGCUUAAAGCUUCAAGAGGGUCACAACACAAUCGAUUUUCUAUGGUGAUAGCUGGUUAGCAAUCAUGUAUGUUGUUUGGAACGAGAGAAAUAGAAGGCAUUCAAUGAGAUAGAGCUAGAUUUCUUAGAAUUGCAUGGUAAUCUUUUAUUUCUAGUUUUUUUUUUUGGUUUAUGACUUGUAUACGAGAUUUUCCCAUAAUUGUUAAUAAAUUUUUUUUACCUUAUUAAGUAGUUUCACUUUUUGAAAUAAUGUCUCUCAUAUGAAAUAAAAAAAUCAGAACCGCCAGAAAAUUCUAUCAAAUCCAAAAAAAUUAUAACAGAUAUCAUAAAA